Vanessa tameamea is the source of this 412-nucleotide RNA transcript. RefSeq lists it as uncharacterized. NCBI's taxonomy places the organism in Eukaryota, Metazoa, Arthropoda, Insecta, Lepidoptera, Nymphalidae. The transcript is spliced from 2 exons. The record is from RefSeq and is a predicted model, not a curated record.
GUUCACCCUGUUAAUGUCAAAUUGUGACAUUUAUCUUCAUAUAUUAAAUAUUUAUAUUAGAGCUAGCAUAAAGUUAUCAUAUUUUACUUAAUACUUUGGUUUAAAAAAGUUCUGAUUAUUAAGAUUAUAAUAUUCUAGUAAUAGUUUACUUACAUAUUACAAAAUUCAUUAAAAUGGCAGGCUCUGAUGAUAAUAAACCUAAUAAUGAUACCGAAUCUAAUAACAUUGAAAGUAACGAAGAAAACGAAGAAAAUGUUCGAGAAGAGUAUGUUUUAUUGGAUACAAAACUGGAUGAAUUAAAUCAAGCUUUAGAUUUGUUGGAACAAAAAAAUGAUGAUAUUCAUAAAAGAUUGGUAGAACUCUUGCAAUCUAACAGAGAUAUACGACAACAACUAAAAAAUGAAAACACAGA